RNAcentral lists this long non-coding RNA (270 nucleotides) under Homo sapiens (human). Its description in RNAcentral is "non-protein coding lnc-ANKRD33B-6:1". The record is from RNAcentral. Lineage: Eukaryota; Metazoa; Chordata; Mammalia; Primates; Hominidae.
GGUUGGUUCAGGUGAGCUCUAAAAGUCCCAAAGAUAAAAAGGUGCAGGUUUGGGGGGGAUCUCAGCAUACCUGUAUGACCCCUAGUCGGCAAAUGGCCACUUGGCUCUAUUUCAAAUCUGGACCCAGUGAGCCACUAAGGAUCUAUAUUGGAAGACUGGCCCUUCCAGGUUCACAUUUGUUCACAUCUACCUACCUACCUACCUACCUACUUACCUAUCUGUCUGUCUGUCUACGGUGUUUAUAAGUAUCAAGCAUGCCUGAAAAUAAGG